GAUGAACGCUGGCGGCGUGCCUAAUACAUGCAAGUCGAGCGAACAGACGAGGAGCUUGCUCCUCUGACGUUAGCGGCGGACGGGUGAGUAACACGUGGAUAACCUACCUAUAAGACUGGGAUAACUUCGGGAAACCAGAGCUAAUACCGGAUAAUAUAUUGAACCGCAUGGUUCAAUAGUGAAAGACGGUUUUGCUGUCACUUAUAGAUGGAUCCGCGCCGCAUUAGCUAGUUGGUAAGGUAACGGCUUAACAAGGCAACGAUGCGUAGCCGACCUGAGAGGGGGAUCGGCCACACGGGAACUGAGACACGGUCCAGACUCCUACGGGAGGCAGCAGUAGGGAAUCUUCCGCAAUGGGCGAAAGCCUGACGGAGCAACGCCGAGUGAGUGAUAAAGGUCUUCGGAUCGUAAAACUCUGUUAUUAGGGAAGAACAAAUGUGUAAGUAACUAUGCACGUCUUGACGGUACCUAAUCAGAAAGCCACGGCUAACUACGUG
RNAcentral lists this ribosomal RNA (497 nucleotides) under uncultured bacterium. RNAcentral's name for it is "partial 16S ribosomal RNA". It matches the Rfam family "Bacterial small subunit ribosomal RNA", at positions 28 to 507 of the family's 1533-position model. The record is from RNAcentral.